GACGAACGCUGGCGGCGUGCUUAACACAUGCAAGUCGAGCGGUAAGGCCCUUUCGGGGGUACACGAGCGGCGAACGGGUGAGUAACACGUGGGUGACCUGCCUCUAGCUCUGGGAUAAGCCUGGGAAGCUGGGUCUAAUACCGGAUAUGACCUCGCGGUGCAUGUUGCGGGGUGGAAAGCCUUGUGCGGCUAGGGAUGGGCCCGCGGCCUAUCAGCUUGUUGGUGGGGUGANGGCCUACCAAGGCGACGACGGGUAGCCGGCCUGAGAGGGCGACCGGCCACACUGGGACUGAGACACGGCCCAGACUCCUACGGGAGGCAGCAGUGGGGAAUCUUGCGCAAUGGGCGAAAGCCUGACGCAGCGACGCCGCGUGAGGGAUGACGGCCUCGGUUGUAA
RNAcentral lists this ribosomal RNA (397 nucleotides) under uncultured bacterium. RNAcentral's name for it is "bacterial SSU rRNA". It matches the Rfam family "Bacterial small subunit ribosomal RNA", at positions 28 to 428 of the family's 1533-position model. The record is from RNAcentral.